Molecule: non-coding RNA, 3698 nt
Organism: Oryctolagus cuniculus (rabbit)
Lineage: Eukaryota; Metazoa; Chordata; Mammalia; Lagomorpha; Leporidae
Source: RefSeq, a predicted model, not a curated record
CGCGCGCCUAGGGACGCCCGCGCAGAUCUCCGGUCGCACGCCUGGGCCGCAUGGUGGUAGUGGGCGCGUGAACUGAACCGACGCCACCCAGGAGCUUCCCAACCGUGCAGUGGUCAUUCACCUUGCUCGGCGCCCCUCGUGGCGGAACAGGGCCGCCGGCUCCCCGACUGCGAGGGGACUGCUGGGACGCACGGUGCCUCCACCGAAGCCAUGCUGCUCGGAAGAGGGGCAGAGGCGUAGGCCUUGUCGCCUUUGAGCCCCUUUCGGGGAGAAAACUAACUGGACUAGCCUGAAAGCCCCACGGCCUUGGGGGCCGCCAGCUCCCCAGGCUCUGACUGUUCUCAGUCUUCAAGAAGCUGUAAGCAGUCGCACUGAACCUUGCUACUCUGCUCUCUCACACCUGAAUCACCUGAAUUAUUUCUUGCGAGAAGACAAGAACCCCAAGACUUCUCUCCAGUGACAGCACCAGGGUCACACCUGAGAAGCCUGCACCAUUGUGUCUCCGCACCACUCCGCCAAAGUUUCAACAUGGCCAAGUUCCCGCGUGCAUUCUGGGGGCUGAUUUGUGGUUGUGCCCAUCCUGACCUGCACCAAGGAAUGAGGUCAGCAGGCCAUUAACAGGGAGCUGGAUCAGAAGCAGGGCAGCUCAUCAGGAGACAGCACCCAUAUGGGACAAUAGCUCCGCAGGUGGCGGCUUUACCCUCCAUUCCACAACGCAAGCCCAGCCGAGACACUACCUGGAAAAGGCGUUCUCUGGGCUGGACACAGAUGUCUCACCAGGCUGCAGACCCCCGCCCCCUCGGGCACCACGGAGCUUCUGGACAUGGUGAGGGGCGCCUUGGGAUCCCCUUCAAAGCCUGAAGGGCCCAGCCCAGGGAAGUGACUGUUGGGAGAUGUCAUCUCCAGAGGUGGGGAGGUGUCUUCCUGUGUGGAAGCGGGCAUUCUGCUGGGAAAGUUCUAGUGCAUUCUCUUUUGUAAGAAAAACGCAGCCCCAGAGUGCGUGUCUAGGAGGCUUCUUCCUUUGUGUUCAUGUUUCACACAGUGGACUGCUCUGGCUUGGAGUAGCCACAGCAGUCAGCUGGCUUCCCUUGAAAAGGACUCCUACUCGGGGUGCUGGAGCUGUCACCCAGCACCUUUCCCACAGGCACCUGAGUGCAGUUGAAGACGUUAGUGUUACCGGAGAAAUGCAGGGUUCUCCUCUUCGCACAAGAAAGAAUUCAGGCGUGAGACAAAGAGUAGUGGGAGGUAAAAUAGCAAGGUUUAUUAGGGAAGGGACAUCCGUAAGGAUGCAUGGGCACCUCUCCAGACAGGACCUGGGCAAGAGUGCAGUGGCUCGGACUUGGGGGGGGGGGGUUACAUGGUUGAGUGGAGAGAUUACACCUGGCCAGACCAGGCGGGCUGAGCACCCAGUCCAGCAGUCCGGUUGAGGGGGGGGAGGGUGUUAAGGAGAUGGGUCUUGCUUCCCCACCUCUGCUCCUCUUGGAACAAAGGAAAACUUCUGAGUUUUCCCCUGAAGGUAUCAGACAGGAGGAAGCCUAGCUGGUGCUAUCCUGAGUUUAGAGGAAGGGUGAGCAAGACCCCUGGAGAAUGGGGAUCCCGAGCAGGGUGGUUGAAAUGCAGAUACUGGGCUGCACCUGGGAGACUGUGGAAGAUUUGUCAGGCAGAAGGGGCGGGGACCCCCACCUGGCAGGUUAUCAGGUAGAAGGGGGCAGGGCAGGAUGCGAAUACCAGGCUGCCCCUGAAACAUUGUCAGGAUGACUUUGAGAUGCAGAUGCAUAUGCUGGACGUAGAUGUCUUCUCUUUAAAUGUCACACACACAUAAGCUCAUAACUGACUUCCUACCUAACAGGUUUCUGCAUACACAGCAGUAAUACACACGAGGGGCCUUCAAAACAUUCACAGAAAACAGGCAUUUGGCACAGCUGUUAGGACACCACAUGGGCUGCCUGCAUCCCAUGUCCCAGUGCAUGGGUUUAAGUCCCAGCUCUACUUUCGGCUCUGGCUUCCUGCUAAUGCAUGCCCCGGGAGGCAUCGGGGGAUGGCUCAAGUAGUUGGGCCCCUGCCAGUCACGUGGAAACCCAGACUGAGUGGUCUUUACUUCAGCCUGGCCCAGCUGGGGAAUGAACCAGCAGACAGAAAAUCAGUUUUGGGACCAGUGCUGUGGCGUAUUGGGUUAAUGCUCUGGCCUGAAGCACCGGUUCAAGACCUGGCUGCUCCACUUCUGAUCCAACUCUCUGCUGUGGCCUGGGAAAGCAGUAGAAUAUGGCCCAAGUCCUUGGGCCCCUGCACCCACAUGGGAGACCCGGAAGAAGCUCCUGGCUCCUGGCUUAGGAUCGGUGCUGUGCCGGCCAUUGUGGCAAUUGGGGAGUGAACCAUCGGAUGGAAGAUCUCUCUCUCUCUCUUUCUCUCUCUCUGCCUCUCUUCUCUCUGUGUAACUCUUUCAAAUAAAUAAAUAAAUCUUAAAAAAAAAAACUUCACAGAAAAUUCAUAUAAUACAAAACCUAUACAUGGAUUUUUUUAAAAAAUCAGUUUCAAUCUCACUUUCUUUUUCUUCCUCUUUCUUUAAAAUACAUAAAAAUAAAUGUGUUACUUUCUAAAAAUGAUCAUGCAGGAGAAGGCAUUUAGCCCAGCUGUUAGGAUGCCUGCAGCCCACAUCAGAGUGCCUGGGUCAGAGUCCCUGCUCCAGCUUCUUGCUAAUGCAGACCCUGGAGGCAGCAGUCAUGGAUCCAGUACGUGGGCUCCUGCCACCUAUGUGAGAGAUGUGGAUCACAUUCCCUGCUCCUGACUCUGCCCCAGUCCAGCCCUGCCACUGUGGCAUUUCAGGAGUAAACCAGCAGCAGAUGCGAGUGCUCUGUUACUCUCUGCCUUUCGAGUAAAUAAGAAUGAUUUUUUAAAAAAUAUAUUUAUCAGAACUGGUGCUGUGGUGUCGCAGAUAAAGCUGCUGCCUGCAGUGCCAGCAUCUCAUUCAAGUCCUGGCUGCUCAACUUCCAAUCCAGCUCUCUGCUGUGGCCUGGGAAAGCAGUAGAAGGUGGCCCAAGUGCUUGGAACCCUGAACCCUCGUGGGAGACUUGAAGCUCCUGCCUUCAGAUCGGCUUAGCUUUGGCCAUUGCACCCAUUUGGGGAGUGAACCAGCGAUGCAAGACCUUUCUCUCUUGCCUCUGCCUCUCUGUAACUCUGCCUUGCAAAUAAAUAAAUCAAUAUUAAAAAAAAAAAAAAGAUCUAUUGCCAAUCCAAAGCCAGGAGCUAGGAUCUUCUUCCUGGUCUCCCACGUGGGUGCAGGGGCCCAAGGACUUGGACCAUCUUCUGCUGCUUUCCCAGCUGUGUUAGCAGAGAGUGGGAUCAGAAGAGAAGCAGCCGGCCAGCACUGUGGCUCAAUAGGCUAAUCCUCUGCCUGCGGCGCCAGCACACAGGGUUCUAGUCCUGGUCAGGGCGCCGGAUUCUGUCCUGUUUGCUCCUCUUCCAGUCUAGCUCUCUGCUGUGGCCCAAGAUUGCAGUGGAAGAUGGCCCAAGUUCUUGGGCCCUGCACCCGCACAGGAUACCAGGAGAAGCACCUGGCUCCUGGCUUUGGAUCAGUGCCUUGCGCUGGCCACAGCAGUCAUUGGGGGGGGUGAACCAACGGAAAAGGAAGACCUUUCUCUCUUUGUCUCUCUCUCUCACUGUCUACUCUGCCUGUCAAAAAAAAAAAAAAAAAAAAAGAA